This 452-nucleotide ribosomal RNA is filed under the name uncultured bacterium. Its description in RNAcentral is "partial 16S ribosomal RNA". It matches the Rfam family "Bacterial small subunit ribosomal RNA", at positions 28 to 523 of the family's 1533-position model. The record is from RNAcentral.
GAUGAACGCUGGCGGCGUGCCUAAUACAUGCAAGUCGAGCGGUAACACUUCGGGUGACGAGCGGCGGACGGCUGAGUAACGCGUAGGAACAUACCCCAAAGUGAGGGAUAAGCACCGGAAACGGUGUCUAAUACCGCAUGUGGUCUUCGGAUUAAAGCUUCGGCGCUUUGGGAAUGGCCUGCGUAUGAUUAGCUUGUUGGUGAGGUAAUGGCUCACCAAGGCGACGAUCAUUAGCUGGUCUGAGAGGAUGAUCAGCCAGACUGGGACUGAGAACGGCCCAGACUCCUACGGGAGGCAGCAGUAGGGAAUUUUCCACAAUGGACGAAAGUCUGAUGGAGCAACGCCGCGUGCAGGAUGAAUGCCUUCGGGUUGUAAACUGCUUUUCUCUGUGACGAUUAUGACGGUAGCAGAGGAAUAAGGAUCGGCUAACUCCGUGCCAGCCGCCGCGGUAA